This 22-nucleotide unclassified non-coding RNA is filed under the name Mus musculus (house mouse). RNAcentral's name for it is "oocyte_clustered_small_RNA4737". Lineage: Eukaryota; Metazoa; Chordata; Mammalia; Rodentia; Muridae. The record is from RNAcentral.
AUGCACUGGAGCAGAGCACUGC